This 348-nucleotide ribosomal RNA is filed under the name Halyzia sedecimguttata (orange ladybird). RNAcentral describes it as "partial 12S ribosomal RNA". The record is from RNAcentral. Lineage: Eukaryota; Metazoa; Arthropoda; Insecta; Coleoptera; Coccinellidae.
UUAAAUGUAAAUUAAAAAACUAAGUGAUUAAUAGUUAAGUUCUUUAAAGCUAAAUGAUUUGGCGGUAUUUUAUACUUUUCAGAGGAACCUGUUCUUUAAUUGAUACUCCACGAUUGAAUUAACUUAAAUUAGAAAUUUUUAUAUCGUUGUUAUUAAAUAUUUUUAUAGGAUUAAAUAUUUAAGAUUUCUUAAAAAAGAAAAAAAUCAGAUCAAGGUGAAGUUUAUAUUUAAGAUGAAAUGGGUUACAUUAAAUUAAAUUUAUGGAUUUAAAAUUUUUAAAGUUUAUUAAAAUUGGAUUUGAAAGUAAUUAGUUAUACAUUUUUAUAAUGAUAAAGCACUAAAAUAUGU